RNAcentral lists this Y RNA (104 nucleotides) under Saimiri boliviensis boliviensis (Bolivian squirrel monkey). RNAcentral describes it as "Y RNA (ENSSBOG00000004450.1)". It matches the Rfam family "Y RNA". From Rfam's summary of the family: Y RNAs are components of the Ro ribonucleoprotein particle (Ro RNP), in association with Ro60 and La proteins. The Y RNAs and Ro60 and La proteins are well conserved, but the function of the Ro RNP is not known. Lineage: Eukaryota; Metazoa; Chordata; Mammalia; Primates; Cebidae. The record is from Rfam by way of RNAcentral.
GGCUGGUCCAGGAUGUGCCGCGGUGUUUACAACUAAUUGAUCACAGCAAGUUACAGAUUUCUUGUUCCUUCUCCACUCCCACUGCUUCACUUGACUGGACUUAA